AGUCAAGUAAUUAAGUGCAUGUGGUGGAUGCCUUGGCAGUCAGAGGCGAUGAAAGACGUGAUAGCCUGCGAAAAGCUCCGGGGAGGCGGCAAAUAUCCUUUGAUCCGGAGAUGUCUGAAUGGGGGAACCCACCUACUUUAAGGUAGGUAUUGCAACAUGAAUACAUAGUGUUGCAAGGCGAACGAGGGGAAGUGAAACAUCUCAGUACCCUUAGGAAAAGAAAUCAAUUGAGAUUCCCUCAGUAGCGGCGAGCGAACGGGGAUCAGCCCAUUAAGUUAUGUGUGUUUUAGUGGAACGCUCUGGGAAGUGCGAACGUAGAGGGUGAUAUUCCCGUACACGAAAGGGCACACAUAAUGAUGACGAGUAGGGCGAGGCACGUGAAACCUUGUCUGAAUAUGGGGGGACCAUCCUCCAAGGCUAAAUACUCCUGACUGACCGAUAGUGAACCAGUACCGUGAGGGAAAGGCGAAAAGAACCCCUGUGAGGGGAGUGAAAUAGAUCCUGAAACCGCAUGCAUACAAGCAGUGGGAGCACCUUCGUGGUGUGACUGCGUACCUUUUGUAUAAUGGGUCAGCGACUUAUAUUCAGUAGCGAGGUUAACCGUAUAGGGGAGCCGUAGAGAAAUCGAGUCUUAAUAGGGCGUUUAGUUGCUGGGUAUAGACCCGAAACCAGGCGAUCUAUCCAUGAGCAGGUUGAAGGUUGGGUAACACUAACUGGAGGACCGAACCCACUGUCGUUGAAAAGCCAGGGGAUGACUUGUGGAUAGGGGUGAAAGGCUAAUCAAGCCUGGUGAUAGCUGGUUCUCCCCGAAAGCUAUUUAGGUAGCGCCUCGGACGAAUACCAUAGGGGGUAGAGCACUGUUUCGGCUAGGGGGUCAUCCCGACUUACCAAACCGAUGCAAACUCCGAAUACCUAUGAGUACUAUCCGGGAGACAGACUGCGGGUGCUAACGUCCGUAGUCAAGAGGAAAACAAUCCAGACCGCCAGCUAAGGCCCCAAAAUCAUAGUUAAGUGGGAAACGAUGUGGGAAGGCAUAGACAGCUAGGAGGUUGGCUUAGAAGCAGCCACCCUUUAAAGAAAGCGUAAUAGCUCACUAGUCGAGUCGGCCUGCGCGGAAGAUGUAACGGGGCUAAAACUAUGUGCCGAAGCUGCGGAUGUAUACUUUGUAUACGUGGUAGGGGAGCGUUCUGUAAGCCGAUGAAGGUGUGUUGAGAAGCAUGCUGGAGGUAUCAGAAGUGCGAAUGCUGACGUGAGUAACGACAAAACGGGUGAAAAACCCGUUCGCCGAAAGACCAAGGGUUCCAGUCCAACGUUAAUCGGGGCUGGGUGAGUCGACCCCUAAGGCGAGGCCGAAAGGCGUAGUCGAUGGGAAAAUGGUUAAUAUUCCAUUACUUCUGUGUAAUGCGAUGAGAGGACGGAGAAGGCUAAAUCAGCCUGGCGUUGGUUGUCCAGGUGAAAGGAUGUAGGCAUGUAUCUUAGGCAAAUCCGGGGUACUCUAUGCUGAGAUCUGAUAGCAAGCUGUACUUGUACAGCGAAGUGGUUGAUGCCAUGCUUCCAGGAAAAGUCUCUAAGCUUCAGUUACACAGGAAUCGUACCCGAAACCGACACAGGUGGUCAGGUCGAGUAGACCAAGGCGCUUGAGAGAACUCUGCUGAAGGAACUAGGCAAAAUGGUACCGUAACUUCGGGAGAAGGUACGCUGUUGUUGGUGAUGGAACUCGCUUCCUGAGCUGACGACAGCCGCAGAAACCAGGCCGCUGCAACUGUUUAUUAAAAACAUAGCACUCUGCAAACACGAAAGUGGACGUAUAGGGUGUGAUGCCUGCCCGGUGCUGGAAGGUUAAUUGAUGGGGUUAGCGUAAGCGAAGCUCUUGAUCGAAGCCCCAGUAAACGGCGGCCGUAACUAUAACGGUCCUAAGGUAGCGAAAUUCCUUGUCGGGUAAGUUCCGACCUGCACGAAUGGCAUAAUGAUGGCGGCGCUGUCUCCAGCAGAGGCUCAGUGAAAUCGAAAUCGCUGUGAAGAUGCAGUGUACCCGCGGCUAGACGGAAAGACCCCGUGAACCUUUACUGCAGCUUGACACUGAACUUUGACCUUACUUGUGUAGGAUAGGUGGGAGGCUUUGAAGCUGGAACGCUAGUUCCAGUGGAGCCGUCCUUGAAAUACCACCCUGGUAAUGUUGAGGUUCUAACUCUGUCCCGUGAUCCGGGACGAGGACCGUGUCUGGUGGGUAGUUUGACUGGGGCGGUCUCCUCCUAAAGAGUAACGGAGGAGUACGAAGGUGCGCUCAGCGUGGUCGGAAAUCACGCGUAGAGUAUAAAGGCAAAAGCGCGCUUAACUGCGAGACCCACAAGUCGAGCAGGUACGAAAGUAGGUCUUAGUGAUCCGGUGGUUCUGUAUGGAAGGGCCAUCGCUCAACGGAUAAAAGGUACUCUGGGGAUAACAGGCUGAUACCGCCCAAGAGUUCAUAUCGACGGCGGUGUUUGGCACCUCGAUGUCGGCUCAUCUCAUCCUGGGGCUGAAGCAGGUCCCAAGGGUAUGGCUGUUCGCCAUUUAAAGAGGUACGCGAGCUGGGUUUAGAACGUCGUGAGACAGUUCGGUCCCUAUCUACCGUGGGCGCUGGAAAUUUGAGAGGAUCUGCUCCUAGUACGAGAGGACCAGAGUGGACGAACCUCUGGUGUACCGGUUGUGACGCCAGUCGCAUCGCCGGGUAGCUAUGUUCGGAAGGGAUAACCGCUGAAAGCAUCUAAGCGGGAAGCCUACCUCAAGAUAAGAUUUCCCUAGGACUUUAUGUCCUCUAAAGAGCCGUUCGAGACUAGGACGUUGAUAGGUUGGAUGUGGAAGCAUAGUGAUAUGUGAAGCUGACCAAUACUAAUUGCUCGUCAGGCUUGACUAUACAACACCC
This 2902-nucleotide ribosomal RNA is filed under the name Acinetobacter baumannii Naval-72. Its description in RNAcentral is "bacterial LSU rRNA". It matches the Rfam family "Bacterial large subunit ribosomal RNA". The record is from RNAcentral. Lineage: Bacteria; Pseudomonadati; Pseudomonadota; Gammaproteobacteria; Moraxellales; Moraxellaceae.